Schizosaccharomyces pombe (fission yeast) is the source of this 287-nucleotide non-coding RNA. Lineage: Eukaryota; Fungi; Ascomycota; Schizosaccharomycetes; Schizosaccharomycetales; Schizosaccharomycetaceae. The record is from the annotation of a GenBank genome assembly.
AAGUAACUGUCAGAAUACCUUUUAUUAUUCACUAAAGCUUUAUUUUCGCUUUUUGAAACCGAAGCAGACUUGGAAAUCGGGGAUGAUAGAGUUUGUUCAUGUGUGCUUUGUGUAUAAUCCUUUUGGGACGAGUAAGGCUUUACAAUUAUCCUUUGGCAAUAAUUAGAUUCAUCGGAAUCAGAUACAGGUGGUAAGCGUUUUUUCAUGUACUUAUAAUGUUGCCGCCAGGAUUCAAGAGAAUGUUGAGGAUACUAGGAAACCGUAGCCGCCAAUAUAGAAAGCGGAAA